RNAcentral lists this ribosomal RNA (389 nucleotides) under uncultured bacterium. RNAcentral describes it as "bacterial SSU rRNA". It matches the Rfam family "Bacterial small subunit ribosomal RNA", at positions 30 to 417 of the family's 1533-position model. The record is from RNAcentral.
AUUGAACGCUGGCGGCAUGCCUUACACAUGCAAGUCGAACGGCAGCACGGGAGCAAUCCUGGUGGCGAGUGGCGAACGGGUGAGUAAUAUAUCGGAACGUGCCCGGUCGUGGGGGAUAACGUAGCGAAAGCUACGCUAAUACCGCAUACGAUCUACGGAUGAAAGCGGGGGAUCUUCGGACCUCUCGCUAUCAGAUGAGCCCAUGUCAGAUUAGCUUGUUGGUGAGGUAAAGGCUCACCAAGGCGACGAUCUGUAACUGGUCUGAGAGGAUGAUCAGUCACACUGGAACUGAGACACGGUCCAGACUCCUACGGGAGGCAGCAGUGGGGGAAUAUUGGACAAUGGGGGGCAACCCUGAUCCAGCCAUGCCGCGUGUGUGAAGAAGGCCU